This 21-nucleotide small nuclear RNA is filed under the name Arabidopsis thaliana (thale cress). RNAcentral's name for it is "snRNA_15758". The record is from RNAcentral. Lineage: Eukaryota; Viridiplantae; Streptophyta; Magnoliopsida; Brassicales; Brassicaceae.
GCGACGCAUGCGCCCGCCGCC